UAUAAAUAAUUUAUCACUUGUGGAUAGUAAAUUGGACGAUAAUUUAAUAUUAACUUAUAGGGACGAUGACCAUUUACAGAAGAUUUAUUCGGAUGGUAGCAACGUUGUUUUCGCGUUUUUUACUUUGAAAAAUGAACUUGUGGAUUGUGAUAUACGUACUCUCAAUGGAUCUGUUUCAGCCCAUCUGUUCAAAGAGGCAUUAAAUAAUAAGGAAGUGGAAGCUGAAAUGAAAAUGAUUGAUAUUAGUCGACUAAUUAGACAGUGUAAACGAUUUAUAAGAAAAAUGUUGAGACGAAAACUGGAUGAUCCAGAUUCACUGAUACGGGAUGUGAAGAAGCGCAUACGAUUUCACGUAGGUCAUGAAGG
RNA transcript from Patella vulgata (common limpet), 366 nucleotides. RefSeq lists it as uncharacterized. The transcript is spliced from 3 exons. Lineage: Eukaryota; Metazoa; Mollusca; Gastropoda; Patellidae. The record is from RefSeq and is a predicted model, not a curated record.